GCGAUCGUGGUGAAACUGGUAGACACGCUACUUUGAGGGGGUAGUGAGCUUUGCUUGUGCGAGUUCAAAUCUCGCCGAUCGCACCA
This 86-nucleotide transfer RNA is filed under the name Candidatus Campylobacter infans. RNAcentral's name for it is "Campylobacter sp. CGEMS tRNA-Leu". It matches the Rfam family "tRNA". From Rfam's summary of the family: Transfer RNA (tRNA) molecules are approximately 80 nucleotides in length. Their secondary structure includes four short double-helical elements and three loops (D, anti-codon, and T loops). The record is from RNAcentral. Lineage: Bacteria; Pseudomonadati; Campylobacterota; Epsilonproteobacteria; Campylobacterales; Campylobacteraceae.